Molecule: non-coding RNA, 31 nt
Filed under: Mus musculus (house mouse)
Lineage: Eukaryota; Metazoa; Chordata; Mammalia; Rodentia; Muridae
Source: RNAcentral
CCACUCAUUUGUUCAGUUCACAGAAACUUGC